This 486-nucleotide ribosomal RNA is filed under the name uncultured bacterium. RNAcentral's name for it is "partial 16S ribosomal RNA". It matches the Rfam family "Bacterial small subunit ribosomal RNA", at positions 28 to 507 of the family's 1533-position model. The record is from RNAcentral.
GACGAACGCUGGCGGCGUGCUUAACACAUGCAAGUCGAACGCUGAAGCCCUGGCUUUUGUUGGGUUGGAUGAGUGGCGAACGGGUGAGUAACACGUGAGUAACCUGCCCUCUUCUUUGGGAUAACGCCCGGAAACGGGUGCUAAUACUGGAUAUUCACUGAUCUUCGCAUGGGGGUUGGUGGAAAGGUUUGUUCUGGUGGGGGAUGGGCUCGCGGCCUAUCAGCUUGUUGGUGGGGUGAUGGCCUACCAAGGCUUUGACGGGUAGCCGGCCUGAGAGGGUGACCGGUGACAUUGGGACUGAGAUACGGCCCAGACUCCUACGGGAGGCAGCAGUGGGGAAUAUUGCACAAUGGGCGAAAGCCUGAUGCAGCGACGCCGCGUGAGGGAUGGAGGCCUUCGGGUUGUAAACCUCUUUCGCUCAUGGUCAAGCCGCAACUGUGGGUUGUGGUGAGGGUAGUGGGUAAAGAAGCGCCGGCUAACUACGUG